RNAcentral lists this transfer RNA (76 nucleotides) under Corynebacterium bovis. Its description in RNAcentral is "tRNA-Arg". It matches the Rfam family "tRNA". Rfam says of the family: Transfer RNA (tRNA) molecules are approximately 80 nucleotides in length. Their secondary structure includes four short double-helical elements and three loops (D, anti-codon, and T loops). The record is from RNAcentral. Lineage: Bacteria; Bacillati; Actinomycetota; Actinomycetes; Mycobacteriales; Corynebacteriaceae.
GCCCUCGUAGCUCAGGGGAUAGAGCACUGGUUUCCGGUACCAGCGGUCGGACGUUCGAAUCGUCUCGAGGGCACGA